CCUACGGGACGCAGCAGUGGGGGAUAUUGCACAAUGGGGGGAACCCUGAUGCAGCGACGCCGCGUGGGUGAAGAAGCGUUUCGGCGCGUAAAGCCCUGUCAGCAGGGAAGAAGAAGGACGGUACCUGACCAAGAAGCCCCGGCUAACUACGUGCCAGCAGCCGCGGUAAUACGUAGGAUGCGAGCGUUAUCCGGAAUUACUGGGUGUAAAGGGAGCGCAGGCGGGACUGCAAGUUGGAUGUGAAAUACCGCAGCUUAACUGCGGAGCUGCAUCCAAAACUGUAGUUCUUGAGUGGAGGAGAGGCA
RNAcentral lists this ribosomal RNA (305 nucleotides) under uncultured bacterium. RNAcentral describes it as "bacterial SSU rRNA". It matches the Rfam family "Bacterial small subunit ribosomal RNA", at positions 338 to 659 of the family's 1533-position model. The record is from RNAcentral.